CUGAAACAUCUAAGUACCUGCAGGAAGAGAAAGAAAAUUCGAUUCCCUGAGUAGCGGCGAGCGAAACGGGAAAAGCCCAAACCAGCAAGCUUGCUUGUUGGGGUUGUAGGACUCCAAUAUGGUAGUUCUUUCAGAUAGUCGAAUGACUUGGAAAAGUCAGUCAAAGAGGGUAAAAACCCCGUAGACGAAAUGUGGAAGACACCUAGGAGGAUCCUGAGUACGGCGGAACACGAGAAAUUCCGUCGGAAUCCGGGAGGACCAUCUCCCAAGGCUAAAUACUCCCUAGUGACCGAUAGUGAACCAGUACCGUGAGGGAAAGGUGAAAAGCACCCCGGAAGGGGAGUGAAAUAGAACCUGAAACCGUGUGCCUACAACAAGUCAAAGCCCGUUAAUGGGUGAUGGCGUGCCUUUUGUAGAAUGAACCGGCGAGUUACGAUUGCAUGCGAGGUUAAGUUGAAGAGACGGAGCCGCAGCGAAAGCGAGUCUGAAUAGGGCGUUUGAGUAUGUAGUCGUAGACCCGAAACCAUGUGAUCUACCCAUGUCCAGGUUGAAGGUGCGGUAAAACGCACUGGAGGACCGAACCCACGUACGUUGAAAAGUGCGGGGAUGAGGUGUGGGUAGCGGAGAAAUUCCAAACGAACUUGGAGAUAGCUGGUUCUCUCCGAAAUAGCUUUAGGGCUAGCCUCGGAAUUGAGAAUGAUGGAGGUAGAGCACUGUUUGGACUAGGGGCCCAUCUCGGGUUACCGAAUUCAGAUAAACUCCGAAUGCCAUUCAUUCAUAUCCGGGAGUCAGACUGUGAGUGAUAAGAUCCAUAGUCGAAAGGGAAACAGCCCAGACCACCAGCUAAGGUCCCAAAAUAUAUGUUAAGUGGAAAAGGAUGUGGGGUUGCACAGACAACUAGGAUGUUGGCUUAGAAGCAGCCACCAUUUAAAGAGUGCGUAAUAGC
RNAcentral lists this ribosomal RNA (946 nucleotides) under Enterococcus faecium. RNAcentral's name for it is "partial 23S ribosomal RNA". It matches the Rfam family "Bacterial large subunit ribosomal RNA", at positions 193 to 1141 of the family's 2925-position model. The record is from RNAcentral. Lineage: Bacteria; Bacillati; Bacillota; Bacilli; Lactobacillales; Enterococcaceae.